Molecule: ribosomal RNA, 433 nt
Filed under: uncultured bacterium
Lineage: Bacteria
Description: partial 16S ribosomal RNA
Rfam family: Bacterial small subunit ribosomal RNA
Source: RNAcentral
AACGAACGCUGGCGGCAUGCCUAACACAUGCAAGUCGAACGAGACCUUCGGGUCUAGUGGCGCACGGGUGCGUAACGCGUGGGAACCUGCCCUUAGGUUCGGAAUAACUCCCCGAAAGGGGUGCUAAUACCGGAUAAUGUCUUCGGACCAAAGAUUUAUCGCCUUUGGAUGGGCCCGCGUUGGAUUAGCUAGUUGGUAGGGUAAAAGCCUACCAAGGCGACGAUCCAUAGCUGGUCUGAGAGGAUGAUCAGCCACACUGGGACUGAGACACGGCCCAGACUCCUACGCGAGGCAGCAGUGGGGAAUAUUGGACCACGGGCGAAAGCCUGAUCCAGCAAUGCCGCGUGAGUGAUGAAGGCCUUAGGGUUGUAAAGCGCUUUUACCCGGGAUGAUAAUGACAGUACCGGGAGAAUAAGCUCCGGCUAACUCCGUG